AUGCGAUAAGUAAUGUGAAUUGCAGAAUUCAGUGAAUCAUCGAAUCUUUGAACGCACCUUGCGCCCCUUGGUAUUCCGAGGGGCACGCCUGUUUGAGUGUCGUGAAAU
Molecule: ribosomal RNA, 108 nt
Filed under: Gloeocystidiellum porosum
Lineage: Eukaryota; Fungi; Basidiomycota; Agaricomycetes; Russulales; Gloeocystidiellaceae
Description: partial 5.8S ribosomal RNA
Rfam family: 5.8S ribosomal RNA
About the family: 5.8S ribosomal RNA (5.8S rRNA) is a component of the large subunit of the eukaryotic ribosome. It is transcribed by RNA polymerase I as part of the 45S precursor that also contains 18S and 28S rRNA.
Source: RNAcentral